AACAGUUUUAAAUUUUUCGUACAGCAUUCCGGUAUCCGGAUGCCCCCGUAACAUCUGCUGCCCGGGGCAAGUGCCGUUAAAACACUCCGUCAAAUACGGCCCUGCCUAGGGGGAUGGUGGCUAAUACGGUUUUACCCCUCCAAUGGGCCGUGUCAGAUAGAACCAAAUAAUAAAAACUAUUCGGCAUUGACGAAAUCGUAACUAAUAAAAUAAUAAUCGUUGCACAUUUGCACUACUUAUUCACC
Non-coding RNA from Cinara cedri, 245 nucleotides. Lineage: Eukaryota; Metazoa; Arthropoda; Insecta; Hemiptera; Aphididae. The record is from the annotation of a GenBank genome assembly.